This 506-nucleotide ribosomal RNA is filed under the name Fragilariopsis kerguelensis. Its description in RNAcentral is "partial Bacterial small subunit ribosomal RNA". It matches the Rfam family "Bacterial small subunit ribosomal RNA", at positions 1 to 530 of the family's 1533-position model. The record is from RNAcentral. Lineage: Eukaryota; Bacillariophyta; Bacillariophyceae; Bacillariales; Bacillariaceae.
UUGAAGAGUUUGAUCAUGGCUCAGAUUGAACGCUGGCGGCAGGCCUAACACAUGCAAGUCGAGCGGUAACAGAAAGUAGCUUGCUACUUUGCUGACGAGCGGCGGACGGGUGAGUAAUGCUUGGGAACAUGCCUUGAGGUGGGGGACAACAGUUGGAAACGACUGCUAAUACCGCAUAAUGUCUACGGACCAAAGGGGGCUUCGGCUCUCGCCUUUAGAUUGGCCCAAGUGGGAUUAGCUAGUUGGUGAGGUAAUGGCUCACCAAGGCAACGAUCCCUAGCUGGUUUGAGAGGAUGAUCAGCCACACUGGAACUGAGACACGGUCCAGACUCCUACGGGAGGCAGCAGUGGGGAAUAUUGGACAAUGGGCGAAAGCCUGAUCCAGCAAUGCCGCGUGAGUGAUGAAGGCCUUAGGGUUGUAAAGCUCUUUUACCAGGGAUGAUAAUGACAGUACCUGGAGAAUAAGCUCCGGCUAACUCCGUGCCAGCAGCCGCGGUAAUACGGAG